UCUUAUUUUAAAGUGUAUAACAUACAGCAGUAUUGUAAAGUACCACAAUUUCGCUCUGAGCGAUAAGAAUAUUUAUAAUGGAAUAAAAAGAAUACUGGCAGAAAAUAAUAGUAGUAGCGGUAAUAGUAACAACGACAGUACUAAUAAUGUUGGCGGAAACAACGAAGGUAGCAAUAAGAAAAAUAAAGGAAAAGACAAAGAAGUAGAAGAAGAAGAAGAAGAAGAAGAUGAAGAAGAAGACGGUGAUGAUAGUAUGAAUUACUUAAAUUAUAUAAAAGAUAGAGGAACGGACGAGUUUGAUAAAGUAAAAUACAAUUAUAUGGAUUAUGUUAAAUUUACUAUUGUUAAAAGUGCGAACACAUAUAAACAUAUAUAUAAUGAGUUUUUAGUGUUUUUAGGAGCACAAUAUGAUACUGAUGAAGAAAUAGUACUACAUUUAAAGCUGAAUGAUAUAUUAUCAUUAUUAUUUGUUCAUUAUAAGGAUAACUUAAGCGAAUUUGAUCAUAUAAUCAACAGUUUUCAAGAUCGUAAUAAAUUAACAAAUGCGUUAGAGAAGGAGUUUUUUAGAGAGUUCCUAGAUGAACGUGAUAAUUAUAUUUUUAGCAUAAAUAAUUAUUUUAAUAAGUCACAAGAAACGGAUGAAGAAAAAGAAGAAAUUUUAAAUAAAAAAAAACAAUUAUAUAAUAUAUUUUUAAAAAACUGGAGAAACGAUGGUUAUCGUUUUUAUAGUAUUCACCAUAGAAAAAAAGCAUAUAUCCCUAAAAAAAUCGAUUUAAAUAAAUUUAAAAAAAAAGGUAUAUUAUCAAUUGAAGAACUAGAACAACAACGGCAACAGAAUAACAAAUAUAAAGAACGUAAUAUGGUAAGUGUACCAUUUAAAGGUGCUGACAGUACGAGUAUCACAGUGCAACUGAAUGGUGUAGAUGAACGUUUGACAUUAUCAGAUGAAAUUUAUAUGUUAGAAAAAGAAGAUGAAAAAGAUAAUGAAAAACAUGAAUAUGAAAGUAUAGAUAAAGGUGGUAAAAGAAAUAAAACAUGUAACAAAAAUAACAACAUAAAUGAAUUAAAAGUUUCAUCAGCAUUAAAAAAUGGAAUGAAUAAGUCAUCCUAUAAUGCUCACAACAGAUUGGAUAAUGAUAAGCAGACAACAAAUAACAGUGCUGAUGAUGACACUAGUAACAAUAAUAGUAAUAAGAAGAGCGUGUAUUACCAAAUGAGAAAAGAUUUUUUUUUAAGUGAUAAAUCACUUAACAUUAUGACUAUACUAAAUGCAAUGUCGUCAAAUAAGGACAACAAAGUAGUUACAAAAUUAUAUGAGUUUUUAAAAAUGUUAAAUAUAACAACUUUCGACCAUUUAGUUCGGUAUACCAAUAUAUUAGGUAUAUUUUUUGCAUAUGAUAUAUUUGACGAACUUUAUUUACAAAUAAAAUUGAUUAAAGAAUAUUUUGGUUUUUUUAAAAAUGAAAAUAAAAAUUACCAAUCAUUAAUAGAAGAAUCGGAAAGAAAAAAAAAAAUAAUAAUUUAUAAAGAAUAUAAAAUGAAACCAGAUGAAAUAUUUGUUCCAUAUAAUUGUUUAAAUAUAUAUUGUAAACUAAGAUCCGCUUGGUUGAAAAACAAAACAUUUAAUGUAAAAAUUAAUAGAUAUUCGAUAAAAAGUAUUAAUUUUAUGACUAUUGGUGAUAUAGGACAAGGAUUAGAAGAUGAAAAAAAUAAUUUGCAAAAUGUAUAUGCUAUGUUUGGUUUUAAUGAAUUAAAAAAGACAGUUGAUGCUAUGAAACAUUGGCAUUAUAAAAAUAAUGCAGAUUUUAUUAUAAAUUUAGGAGAUAAUAUACCAAAUGAUGAUAGUGUAUUUUCAACAGAACAUAUGCACUGGUAUAAAUUUAUAAAGGAACUUUUUGUAUUUAAAAAGAGAACUGAAGAGGAAAUUUUAGACAUGUUUGACGAUAGGGAAAUUACAGAUAAAAAAAUAAACGAAUUUUAUAAAAAUCAGUUGGAUAAGGCUCAUACUGUUGGAGAUGGUGGCAGUGGUAGUGGUAGUGAUAACAAUUUAUCCGGUUCUGAUUCCAACAUAAACAAGUUAGAUCAGCAAACUGAAGCAGUAGAAAAUAAAAAACAAAGAGAUAGCACCAAGAGCUUAUAUGAUGAUGAAAGUAAUAUCAACACAGGCAUUUAUGAAGAAGAUAGCGCUAUUCCUUUUUAUUCUAUUUAUGGAGAAAAAGAUUAUUUUUAUUUUCCAAGUGAACAAAUACAUGAACAUUAUUCUAAUAGAAUACCAGGAUAUUUUAUGCCAAAUAAUUAUUAUUGUGUUAAUUAUGAUUUUACAUUUACAGGUACAAGUGCAGGCACAAGUGCAGGCACAAGUACAGGCACAAGUACAGGUAUAAAUGAGGAUGUAGAUAAUUCAAAACAUAAUUUUCGUGCUUCAUUUAUUUUUAUUGACACUUGGGCAUUAUUAGUUGGGUUUCCUAUUAUACGUAAUUAUAGAUCCUAUCGUGAACAAUAUAAUUGGAUUAGUAAAACAUUAUAUGAGAGCGCAAAAACUAGUGACUGGAUUUUUGUUGUUGGUCACCACUCACUUUUGUCCAGUGGUAUAAGGUCAGGUGAUUAUGCAUUUGAAGAAAAUUCAUUUUAUGACGUAUUAAGAGAUUUUUUAUUUACAUAUAAUGUUGAUGCUUAUUUUAGUGCAAAUGAUCAUUUAAUGGAAUACAUUAAAUUUGGAAGUGCUAAUUUAUUUAUUAACGGUGCUUCUGCUCGUGUUUUAUUUGAUAAUUCUUAUUUGGGUCGAGGUUAUUUUGGAAAAGUUAUAGGUAAAAUGUAUCCUAUAACUUGUUACAUACUUAAAACUAUACAUGUUGGAUUAAAACCAAAAGGUUGUAAUCUUAAUAGAUAUUCGAAAUGGGCUAAUAAAGAAGAUAUAGGUUUUAGUGUACAUAAAUUAACAAAAAAUGAGUUAGUAACUGAAUUCAUAAAUAGUAGAACUGGAAAACCAAUUAGUCAUAAAAUCGUCAUAAAAAAUAAAAAAGCAGAACGCUUGAAAUAUUAUGACUUAAAUAAAUUUGUAGAUACACGUAUGACUGAUUUAGAAAAUAAAAUAAAUGAAUUUCAUUUUAAGAAUCCUGAAUUUGUUAAUUAUAAAAUUAAACAAAUAGAAGAAUAUAAUUAUAAUUUAAAAUUAGCUAUGAGUAGUUUAACAACUCCAAAAGAACGAGAUGCUUUCGAAACACUACUACAUUAUAAUAAUAUAAUUUUUGACGUUUCUUUUAAUUUAGAACCGUUAGGUUUAAAAAAAUUAAAACUUAUGCUUAAGUUAGUAAAUACAUAUAAAGAUUUUUUUCAUAAAGACUAUACUACAUAUAUAAAAGCGACAAUAGAAAAAAUAAAACAAAAGGAUACGAAUCUAACUGAUAAUCAAAAUCCAGUUGCAAAUAAUAAAGAUGAUGAUGAUUAUGAUGAUGAUGAUGAUGAUGAUAGAAAACAUAGUAAUAAUGUUAUCUCUGUUAUGGAUGACCAUAAUGAGCUGGAAGAUUCGGAAGAGUAUAUUAUUGCCAAACAAAAAUUAAAAAAUACAAUAGAAAAUGCAUUAGCUUUUGUGCAGUCAUUGAAUUUAGAACCUAUAAAAUUUUUAAAACAGUAUGAUGAGUUAACAGAAAAUGAAAAAAAAUUGCUACCAAAUAAAUUGCAAUUAGAAGAAGAUGUGUUAAACGACUAUGUGCGUGUUUUGCGUAAUUAUGUUUUUAGACAAAAAGCAGAACAAGUUGAAAAGAACAGACGUGCAGAAAUUACAAGAAAACAGAAAAAAACUCAAGAGGAGAAAAAUGUUGUCCAGAAGGAAGAAGAUACAAACGUGUCAAAGCAUAACAAACAGACUGAAAACACAAUUGUUGAAAAAAACAAAAUGGAUAAACAAAACUCAACUGAUGAAGAAGAAAAAGAAGAGAUAACAAAAGAAGAGAUAAGAGAAAAAGAAGAAGAUGAUGAAGAAGAAGAAGUAUUAGUAAAAGAAGAAGAAAAAGAUAAAGGAGAAAACGGAGAAGACGAAAAAGACGGAAAAGAUGAAAAGAAUGAUGGAAACGGUAAACAGAGUAAAACCGAAGGAGUUCGAUUUAAAAAUAAUGUAAAUAAAUUUUAUU
This 4130-nucleotide long non-coding RNA is filed under the name Piliocolobus tephrosceles (Ugandan red Colobus). RNAcentral describes it as "lncRNA (ENSPTEG00000005891.1)". The record is from RNAcentral. Lineage: Eukaryota; Metazoa; Chordata; Mammalia; Primates; Cercopithecidae.